RNAcentral lists this ribosomal RNA (450 nucleotides) under uncultured bacterium. RNAcentral describes it as "partial 16S ribosomal RNA". It matches the Rfam family "Bacterial small subunit ribosomal RNA", at positions 338 to 795 of the family's 1533-position model. The record is from RNAcentral.
CCUACGGGUGGCUGCAGUGAGGAAUAUUGGUCAAUGGGCGCAAGCCUGAACCAGCCAUGCCGCGUGCAGGAUGACGGUCCUAUGGAUUGUAAACUGCUUUUGUACGGGAAGAAACACUCCUUCGUGAAGGAGCUUGACGGUACCGUAAGAAUAAGGAUCGGCUAACUCCGUGCCAGCAGCCGCGGUAAUACGGAGGAUCCAAGCGUUAUCCGGAAUCAUUGGGUUUAAGGGGUCCGUAGGCGUUCGUGGUGAAAGCCCAUCGCUCAACGGUGGAACGGCCAUUGAUACUGCAGGACUUGAAUUAUUGGGAAGUAACUAGAAUAUGUAGUGUAGCGGUGAAAUGCUUAGAGAUUACAUGGAAUACCAAUUGCGAAGGCAGGUUACUACCAAUUUAUUGACGCUGAUGGACGAAAGCGUGGGUAGCGAACAGGAUUAGAUACCCUAGUAGUC